AGUGAACGCUGGCGGUAGGCCUAACACAUGCAAGUCGAACGGCAGCACAGUAAGAGCUUGCUCUUACGGGUGGCGAGUGGCGGACGGGUGAGGAAUACAUCGGAAUCUACUUUUUCGUGGGGGAUAACGUAGGGAAACUUACGCUAAUACCGCAUACGACCUACGGGUGAAAGCAGGGGAUCUUCGGACCUUGCGCGAUUGAAUGAGCCGAUGUCGGAUUAGCUAGUUGGCGGGGUAAAGGCCCACCAAGGCGACGAUCCGUAGCUGGUCUGGGAGGAUGAUCAGCCACACUGGAGCUGAGACACGGUCCAGACUCCUACGGGAGGGAGCAGUGGGGAAUAUUGGACAAUGGGCGCAAGCCUGAUCCAGCCAUACCGCGUGUGUGAAGAAGGCCUUCGGGUUGUAAAGCCCUUUUGUUGGGAAAGAAAAGCAGCAGGUUAAUACCCCGCUGUUCUGACGGUACCCAAAGAAUAAGCACCGGCUAACUUCGUG
Molecule: ribosomal RNA, 492 nt
Filed under: uncultured bacterium
Lineage: Bacteria
Description: partial 16S ribosomal RNA
Rfam family: Bacterial small subunit ribosomal RNA
Source: RNAcentral